Molecule: ribosomal RNA, 498 nt
Filed under: uncultured bacterium
Lineage: Bacteria
Description: bacterial SSU rRNA
Rfam family: Bacterial small subunit ribosomal RNA
Source: RNAcentral
GACGACGCUGGCGGCGUGCCUAACACAUGCAAGUCGAGCGGUCCGGCAUUUAACAUUGAGUAUUCAGAUGAAUCUGAGUAUUGAAUGUUAAAUGUCGGAUAGCGGCGGACGGGUGAGUAACGCGUGGGUAACCUGCCUUAUACAGGGGGAUAACACAGGGAAACUUGUGCUAAUACCGCAUAAUAUCAUUGUAUGGCAUCAUGUGAUGAUCAAAGGAGCAAUCCGGUAUAAGAUGGACCCGCGUCCAAUUAGCUAGUUGGUGGUGUAACGGACCACCAAGGCGACGAUUGGUAGCCGAACUGAGAGGUUGAUCGGCCACAUUGGGACUGAGACACGGCCCAGACUCCUACGGGAGGCAGCAGUGGGGAAUAUUGCACAAUGGGGGAAACCCUGAUGCAGCAACGCCGCGUGAAGGAUGAAGGUUUUCGGAUCGUAAACUUCUUUGAUGAGGGACGAAAAAUGACGGUACCUCAAGAACAAGCCACGGCUAACUACGUG